RNAcentral lists this non-coding RNA (24 nucleotides) under Arabidopsis thaliana (thale cress). Lineage: Eukaryota; Viridiplantae; Streptophyta; Magnoliopsida; Brassicales; Brassicaceae. The record is from RNAcentral.
AGCUUACUAGGAUUGGAUCUGCGC